AGUGAACGCUGGCGGUAGGCCUAACACAUGCAAGUCGAACGGCAGCACAGUAAGAGCUUGCUCUUACGGGUGGCGAGUGGCGGACGGGUGAGGAAUACAUCGGAAUCUACUUUUUCGGGGGGGAUAACGUAGGGAAACUUACGCUAAUACCGCAUACGACCUACGGGUGAAAGCAGGGGAGCUUCGGACCUUGCGCGACUGAAUGAGACGAAGUCGGAUUAGCUAGUUGGGGGGGUAAAGGCCCACCAAGGCGACGAUCCGUAGCUGGUCUGAGAGGAUGAUCAGCCACACUGGAACUGAGACACGGUCCAGACUCCUACGGGAGGCAGCAGUGGGGAAUAUUGGACAAUGGGCGCAAGCCUGAUCCAGCCAUACCGCGUGAGUGAAGAAGGCCUUCGGGUUGUAAAGCCCUUUUGUUGGGAAAGAAAAGCAGCAGGUUAAUACCCCGCUGUUCUGACGGUACCCAAAGAAUAAGCACCGGCUAACUUCGUG
This 492-nucleotide ribosomal RNA is filed under the name uncultured bacterium. Its description in RNAcentral is "partial 16S ribosomal RNA". It matches the Rfam family "Bacterial small subunit ribosomal RNA", at positions 29 to 507 of the family's 1533-position model. The record is from RNAcentral.